UCUCCGUUGGUGAACCAGCGGAGGGAUCAUUAUCGAGUUUAUAACUCCCAAACCCUAUGUGAACUUGCCACUUGUUGCUUCGGCGCGCGCUUCGGUGCCGCCGAGGACACUCAAACUCUUUGUUUUUAUAAGCAUUUCUGAGUGGCCGAAAGGCAAAAUACAAAUGAAUCAAAACUUUCAACAACGGAUCUCUUGGUUCUG
RNAcentral lists this unclassified non-coding RNA (201 nucleotides) under plant metagenome. RNAcentral describes it as "partial contains small subunit ribosomal RNA, internal transcribed spacer 1, and 5.8S ribosomal RNA". The record is from RNAcentral.